UACGAAGGGGGCUAGCGUUGCUCGGAAUUACUGGGCGUAAAGGGCGCGUAGGCGGACAGUUUAGUCAGAGGUGAAAGCCCAGGGCUCAACCUUGGAAUUGCCUUUGAUACUGGCUGUCUUGAGUUCGGGAGAGGUGAGUGGAAUGCCGAGUGUAGAGGUGAAAUUCGUAGAUAUUCGGCGGAACACCAGUGGCGAAGGCGACUCACUGGCCCGAUACUGACACUGAGGCGCGAAAGCGUGGGGAGCAAACAGG
RNAcentral lists this ribosomal RNA (253 nucleotides) under uncultured bacterium. Its description in RNAcentral is "partial 16S ribosomal RNA". It matches the Rfam family "Bacterial small subunit ribosomal RNA", at positions 524 to 776 of the family's 1533-position model. The record is from RNAcentral.